CUAGAAUUGACUUUUUCAUUAUUUUUUUAGCUAACUUCUUUACUUCAUAAGUGUUAAUUAUAUUGUAACCUUUGUAAGGGAUGAUUUAACUUCCACAAUGUAUAUACUUAUUUUUCACUCGUAGCUAUUCUGUAUCGGACACUGGUUCCCCCUGGUAGUGGCAUGUCAUAAGUGGUAUCAGUGCAAGCUCCUAGGACAUCCCUUAUAUUGAGGCUU
RNAcentral lists this long non-coding RNA (216 nucleotides) under Carica papaya (papaya). Its description in RNAcentral is "long non-coding RNA (CPAP_LNC013117)". Lineage: Eukaryota; Viridiplantae; Streptophyta; Magnoliopsida; Brassicales; Caricaceae. The record is from RNAcentral.